This 498-nucleotide ribosomal RNA is filed under the name Veillonella dispar. RNAcentral describes it as "bacterial SSU rRNA". It matches the Rfam family "Bacterial small subunit ribosomal RNA", at positions 28 to 497 of the family's 1533-position model. The record is from RNAcentral. Lineage: Bacteria; Bacillati; Bacillota; Negativicutes; Veillonellales; Veillonellaceae.
GACGAACGCUGGCGGCGUGCUUAACACAUGCAAGUCGAACGAAGAGCGAUGGAAGCUUGCUUCUAUCAAUCUUAGUGGCGAACGGGUGAGUAACGCGUAAUCAACCUGCCCUUCAGAGGGGGACAACAGUUGGAAACGACUGCUAAUACCGCAUACGAUCUGACCUCGGCAUCGAGGAUAGAUGAAAGGUGGCCUCUAUUUAUAAGCUAUCACUGAAGGAGGGGAUUGCGUCUGAUUAGCUAGUUGGAGGGGUAACGGCCCACCAAGGCGAUGAUCAGUAGCCGGUCUGAGAGGAUGAACGGCCACAUUGGGACUGAGACACGGCCCAGACUCCUACGGGAGGCAGCAGUGGGGAAUCUUCCGCAAUGGACGAAAGUCUGACGGAGCAACGCCGCGUGAGUGAUGACGGCCUUCGGGUUGUAAAGCUCUGUUAAUCGGGACGAAAGGCCUUCUUGCGAAUAGUAGAAGGAUUGACGUACCGGAAUAGAAAGCCACGCA